UAUAAAGAGAGUAUCCUUGGUACC
RNAcentral lists this non-coding RNA (24 nucleotides) under Rattus norvegicus (Norway rat). Lineage: Eukaryota; Metazoa; Chordata; Mammalia; Rodentia; Muridae. The record is from RNAcentral.